Molecule: ribosomal RNA, 497 nt
Filed under: uncultured bacterium
Lineage: Bacteria
Description: partial 16S ribosomal RNA
Rfam family: Bacterial small subunit ribosomal RNA
Source: RNAcentral
GAUGAACGCUGGCGGCGUGCCUAAUACAUGCAAGUCGAGCGAACAGACGAGGAGCUUGCUCCUCUGACGUUAGCGGCGGACGGGUGAGUAACACGUGGAUAACCUACCUAUAAGACUGGGAUAACUUCGGGAAACCGGAGCUAAUACCGGAUAAUAUAUUGAACCGCAUGGUUCAAUAGUGAAAGACGGUUUUGCUGUCACUUAUAGAUGGAUCCGCGCCGCAUUAGCUAGUUGGUAAGGUAACGGCUUACCAAGGCAACGAUGCGUAGCUGACCUGAGAGGAGGAUCAGCGACACUGGAACGGAGACAAGGUCCAGACUCGUACGGGAGGCAGCAGUGGGGAAUAUGGGGCAAUGGGCGCAAGCCUGAGCCAGCCAUACCGCGUGGGUGAAGAAGGCCUGCGGGUUGUAAAGCCCUGGGGUGGGGAAAGAAAAGCAGCAGGGUAAUACCCCGCUGUGCUGACGGUACCCAAAGAAUAAGCACCGGCUAAGUUCGUG